Molecule: ribosomal RNA, 252 nt
Filed under: uncultured bacterium
Lineage: Bacteria
Description: partial 16S ribosomal RNA
Rfam family: Bacterial small subunit ribosomal RNA
Source: RNAcentral
UACGGAGGAUGCGAGCGUUAUCCGGAUUUAUUGGGUUUAAAGGGUGCGCAGGCGGCACGGCAAGCCGGCGGUCAAAUCGCGGGGCUCAACCCCGCCCAGCCGUCGGAACUGCCGGGCUAGAGUGGGCGAGAAGUGCGCGGAAUGCGUGGUGUAGCGGUGAAAUGCAUAGAUAUCACGCAGAACUCCGAUUGCGAAGGCAGCGCACCGGCGCCCUACUGACGCUCAGGCACGAAAGCGUGGGUAUCGAACAAG